GAGAGCUCUAGGAGACACGAGGUGACAGUCAAGAGCAACAAGCUUUGCCAAGACCAGAGGGAGCCCUUUUGGGGGGGGUUCCCCACCACCCACAGGUCCUAGGGCCCCGAAAGGCCACACAAAAGAUGACUAGGCAAGGGUGGCAGAUCCACGUGGCAGAACAAAGGACACCAGGGGUGACUGUGUCAGAGGAAAGGCUGGACCCUUUGAAGGUCUGACUGGUCACGUGCUCAUGGGCAGCCGUUGUCAGGGUGAGGUUGAAACCUCUACCCAGCUUCCCCUCAUCCCAACCGCCUGUCCAGACACGAGUAGCUGGCUUUUAGGGGUUCCUGACGGAGACUGUUGACAAACUACUUUCUCUUAUGACCAUUGGAGGGCAGUAAGAUUUAAGAUGGCCUAAUAGUUGCUUCAGGAACUACACCCUGGAAAGAUCACUUAAGCUUUGGAUUCCUCAGUAUGACAGCAUCCAGCCAUUUGGCUUCUGUGGGCUCUGUCGGAUGGGGAUUUGUCUUGGGACACACAUUCAAAUGACAAGGAACAAAGUAUGGGGGGGAGACCUCAAUCGAGUGGUAGCCCCAGCUUUCAGCCAGCCUCUCCCUUAAACCCCACCUCCCUUCCCAGAGUCACCCUCAACUGUCUCCAUAGCUGCACUCUCUAGAGAGAAGAUGUGAAUUACCUAUGUGAUUCUAAAGUCUUUCCUUAACCACACCACAUAAGAAACAGGUGAUGACAUUAUGUUUUAGCUCUGCAUUUCAUUCGACAUUCAGUUUAUUAAGAUAGGUCAUGAAUAUUGAAAUUACCUAUGAGAUCACUUACCAACUACACCAUAUCUCUGAAACCUACACCUAGGGUACAUCUCACUCCGGCUACCCUCCUUGCGGGGCUCCCUUGGGAACGCAUGAGCAGCACGAGUUCCAGGUCAGGCCCCUGUCUGCUGGUCCACACACAGAGACAUUGCUGGGAAGAGCCCAGGCUAAUGCUGCCUGCUGGCUGGCUGCUGUCAUCUGCACUGUCCAGGAGAGCCUUGGAGGUCCCCCUUCCUAGACCUACCUCCCAAGGCCAGAGCACCCAGUUUGCCACCCACCUCAUUUCCCAGCCUUUCUUCUGAGAACCCUCCAUCCUAGCGUUCUCAAGUCUACCACCCGGGCAUUGGGUGAUGCCAGCAAUGGGAAAAGAGUAGCGUACGGUGGAGACGCUAGUCUGCAGCAGACUGGAUGUGGAGAGCGCAAAAGGCUCUUGUGUCUGGCUGUGGUAGGAACUAUCUGUCAUCGGUCUGUUCCCCCAGUCCUGUGACCGUACCUAUUUGGUCCAUUACAAGAUCUUGACUCAAAGUAGAGGAAAACCCUGAGAAGUUUGGAGUUCUGACAAGUAGGUUUCCACAUCAGUCUGACAGGCGGAGGGAGUGAAGGACCAGAAAGAAACACAGAUUGCUCCCAAGUAGGAUCAAGGGCCUCUUCCUCUGCUAAAGGGGCCCAGCAGGCGGCCAUUGUGAGAUCCUUAUGGGUUUGAUAAAGGACUGGAGUCUCUCAUUUCGUCCAGCUACUUUGGACAAUACUGGCAGCCAGAGGGUGUCACUCUGGGUCAUUAUCCUCAAACCCUGUGGUUCCAAACCAGCUUUAGCAUCCUGGGCCACUGGUCCUCAGAUAGCACUGGGCUCUUCACAAGUCCACCCCUGAAGGGCCCAGGUACUGAUCUCUCCUCACUAAGGUCGAGCUAUCUUCUGUACCCACUCUGCAGGAAACAGACGAGAAGGACACACAAAACAUCAGAACACCAUUGGGGGUCAACACCAAUAAACGCUACUCGUCCAAGGCAGGUGGCUUUGGCUGUCCCUGUCAAUGGCUGAUGGCAAGUCAAGGACCACGGCUGCCUGUUACAGUUGACUUUCCGUAUCCGAGGACAGCUACUUCACUCACCCCUUCUGAAGAUCCAUCCGUUCUCGCUACCUACCCAGACAAGGUCUCACUUGCCGGAGGUGUGUAGAGAGGGCUGCAGCAGGUGGACCUCUGUGUUAGGGCAACCAUGCUGUGACACAGGUGCCCCGUCUCUUUGGAUUUUGGAGGCUGAGGGAUCUCAGUGUGGGGAUUAAUCCUGAGAUACAGGUUCCAUAGGGAUGUGAACUAGAAUUUCCAGAAAGAAGUCUGGCCUGUGUUUAAUAUCCUGCAAGGCUGACUGACUGAUUAAAAUUAGUCUGUGAUUGUACAGAGUUUGAAUGUUGCAGGUCCAGAGCCAAAUUAUCUUGGGCUAUCUCUGGUUUCCUUAGCAGAUAGUCAUUGCCAACCUCCAUGUGUAACCUAACACCCAUCCUUGUGACUGAGGUAAAUCCUUUUGGAUAUAUGCACUAGCUUCCCUUGAUCCGAAGGCUAAGAAUGCCAUCAGAUAACAUCUGGGGCCUAUAACAGAUCCCCCAGUUAGCUGUCACCCACCUGUCUUCAUGUUCCCAGUAAAUUUCAAAAGUGUUCUUGACUUAUGACUUUCCUCAUGUUAUUACCACUGAUUCUCUUAAAACUUAUACCACCUUUGGUUGUGGUGUUUGGGGCAACCAGAGCCGCUCAUCUUUGGCUCCAGAAAAAACAAAAACCAAAAACCAAAAAAUGUUCUUUAUUUCCUUGAAGCGAGAGCCAUGUCUUUGUAUUGAUGGAGAAUUCACAUAAGCCAUAUGGACUUGGGCAGGGGACUGAUUUAGAGGCUGCCGUGGGACCAGCACCAGCUGUCACAGCCAGGCUGAUGCCUGCAGAGGGGUAAAGAGGUCCACGAAAUUCAGCGGAUUUCCUCCUCCUGAAAGAGACCCGGGACAGCCUACUGCUUAUCUGAAGAGCAGGGCUUUCAUUUCAGCUGUCUGUGUGACAGAGCUCGUGUGGAACCCAGACAACUAACUUAAAUCAGACUGUACGGUUGGCUCGGAGCCAAUGGCAGCAAGCCCAUCCUCGGGCAGCCAGGGAAAGGGCGUGGCAAAUAGAAGACAAAGAAGGAGCAGAGAAAGAGAAACACGUACCCAGUGUCCAUGUGGCCUGCUCUAAACACUGCCCAGAGUGAGAGAAGCAGAAACAGAAAUUGACGAAGAUAACCAAAGCCUUACAAUUUCAUGGCACUCAGUUUCCAAGUACACACAGACACCAUUCUGCAUGGGAGACAAGUCAGAGAAAGAAUUAUUUCUGCUUCUCCGGUGGAAAACCAAGAAAACUCUGAGAUCACACAGCUGAGUGCUUUGGGUGGAAAUGGUUCUGGUACCCCUGGCACAUACAAAUAAGAAGAUACAUUCUCAUUCUAGCGCGUGCACGCACACACACACACACACACACACACACACACACACACACACCUGCCCUACGCACAUGCCAGAUGCACACACACGUAAAGGCGGGAAUGAACACCAGAGACAAGGAUCAGGACAAGAUGUCUCGGGGUUCAAGCAGAAGGAGCCAGCUGAGACUGCAGAUGGUCCUUGGCCACAGAAAGAAAUGAAAAUCUCUUCUCCACCUCCAGCGCCAGUUAAGUCAGAGACACACACUCCAAGGCUGUUGAGUCAACUGUCCAGCAUGCUCGCCCAGCAUGCUCGCCCAGCAUGCUCCUCUGGCCUUCCUCCCCACUUCCCACCCAGGUACUCAGACAGACAAUUUACCCUGUUGGGGCUGCCGCCGCACUGGCUCUCACUGAGAGGUGGUGGCGUCGGAGGGACCACAGAGAUUUUGCUGCUAAGGAGAAACACAAGAAAAAUGGGUUAGAACUACUUAAGGCUUACAGAUUUACAAAUGCCUGAGUUUAUCAUUUCAAGUUCUUGCUUUGCGUCAUUUUUAAGAAAAUGACAUGGCAGCGGCACUGCUUGUUGCUGCUUCUCUGUGCGCUGUGCCUGAGUAUGGAUGUGAGGACGUCACCGCCUUCAGCCCAGGCAUCCACUUCUCCAGCACAUUCUGAAGCCACUGGGGGACCUUGGCUCUCCCUCUGAGCUGCUCUUGGACCCAGGCUUCAUAUGUGGAGUCCUAUUUGGACUAUUGUAUUCUUAGUGCAAUCCACACCAGCACAAGAGCCAAAAUGGGAAAAGAAAAGAAAAGAAAAGAAAAAAAACUCAACAAUGUGAGAAAAACUGCAAGCACAAGCUGAGAGAAAUAAGAACAAAUGUGGGAAGGGAAAUAAAAAAAGUAGAAAGUGGAUGUGCUCACACGCCUGUAAUCUCUGUGCUGGGUAGGCUGUGGCAAGAAGAUCGCCAGCAACCCCUGGACAGCCUGGACUAUACAACAAUGACCAGACCACAGGGCUAUACGGAAAGACAAGGAGGAAGAGAAAGGGAGAGGAGGAGGUUGAAGGGGGAAGAGGAGGAGGAGGAAGAGAAGGAGAAAGAAGAAGAGGAAGACAAGGGGGAAGAAGAGGAGGAGGAGAAAAAGGAAGAGGUGGAAGAGAAAGAGGAUGAAAAGGAGGAAGAGGAGGAUGAAGAGGAGGAGGGGGAGAGGAGGUUCUAAGUUCUGAGACUGGAUACAUUUCAUCAUGAACCAUGGGAACUCUCAGUGACAGUCACUAAACUCAGCAGAACAGGGUGUGUGGCCUGCUGCAUCAAGGCUGCCAGAGACUCAGAAGUCUGUGCAAAGAUGUUAACUUCUCUUAGAACACUGGCUCAACAUUUUUAACUUCAAAAGUGUUAUGAGGUACAUUCCCAACCAGGGAAGAUGCCAGAGAAAGGAAGAAAAGUGGAAGCAACUGCUUGGUUUAGAAUGGUGUCAGGUGCACCGUCCAAGACAGUUCACUCUUUACAGCAUCUCGGGGGAAUUUGAGGGGGACGAUAGUACAUGUAAACACAGGAUCGCUAGAGGGCUCCUCAAGAGAAUCUAGAAGCUCCUCUCGACCUUUUCCAGGAACUUUAUAAUUUAAGUCAUGUUCCAGAGCAGUGACCUCUGAAGGUCAGGGAUGUGUGAGUUCUUUCAGGUGUCCUCUGAGCUCCUGCUGACAUGGGACUCUCUGUCCUGUACUCACCUCUGCCUCUGAUAAGAUUGUAGGAGCCUCGCCCCAGCGGUCUCGCGUCUGCCUGGGGGAGAGACAAGCCAAGGGCAGUCAGUACCAAGAACAAACUGUAGGUGAUACAAACCCAGCAAUCGAUAUAUUCAAAUUGUUUUUUUUUAAAGAUUUAUUUAUUUAUUAUAUAUGAGUACACUAUAGCUGUCUUCAGAACACCAGAAGAGGGCAUCGGAUCUCUUUACAGAUGGUUGUGAGCCACCAUGUGGUUGCUGGGAAUUGAACUCAGGACCUUUGGAAGAGCAGUCGGUGCUCUUAACCGCUGAGCCAUCUCUCCAGCCCUCAAAUUGUUUUAAUAUAACUUCUUGUUAUUAAAAAGAGAUCUUUGGGGGAUGACAGAAAUGCUCAAAAAUCAGAUGGCGGAGGCAGGGUCAGAUGGUGGAGGCAGGUAAAGGCACUACCCCCAAAUCUGCCAACCUGAGCUUCAUCCCCCCCCAAAUCCACAUGGCUCAGGGUACAGAAGAUUCCUGAAAGCUGUUUCUGGUCACUACACAUGUGCUUGGUACAUUCACGCAUGUGUACAUGCAUGCACACACACAUACAUACACAUACACACAGACACAUACACACACAUACACACACACACACACAUUCACACACACACUACUUAGGGCUGGAGAAAUGGCUCCCACCACCCACAUGGCAGUUCACAACCAUCUACAACUCCAAUCUCAGGCUAUUCAAUAAUGUCUUCUGGCCUCUGUAGGCAUGCAUGUGGAAUGUAGACUUCUAUACAGACAAAACACUCAUACAUAUAAAAAAUAAACAUAAAAAUAUAGAUGUGGUAUUAUUGUAUAGCUUUCCAUCCACUGGACAACUGUUGACUUGUUAACAGCCCUGGCCACCUACCCACCCACCCAUACACUUUAAUCCAUCAUGUCUGGGAAUGUCUGCUUCAAUUAGAAGUUAAUGUUGAAUCAGAUUUUCUAAAUCUGGGCAAUUUGAAACAAUCCUUCAAGUUCCUUGGUACCUUCCCCCCAGGAAACACUGCAUAAUUGAAUGUAUCCCUUGAAAUGACCCUUGUGACGAAGACUUAACCUAAUCUCUUUAAAAACGUAAUCUCCUUAAGUCUAGCAGAGUAACUAAUUAACUUUCCUAAAUCAGACCGCACCUGCCCUUUUUGUUUCAUGAUGUAUUAAACCCUCUCAAAUAAAAUCUGUCUGUCCAUG
Rattus norvegicus (Norway rat) is the source of this 6173-nucleotide long non-coding RNA. RefSeq lists it as uncharacterized. Lineage: Eukaryota; Metazoa; Chordata; Mammalia; Rodentia; Muridae. The record is from RefSeq and is a predicted model, not a curated record.